AAUAGGCGGCUUUGGGUGUGGGCUGUGUGUCAGGGAAAUAGGAGCUGUAAUUGUCUCCUCUUAUCGUUCUAUCAGACUCUCUCAGCUUCUAGCAGAAGCAGUGAUAAAUUCUAACAGAUAAUGCAACUCAGUCUACUUGGAUGUUCACACCUGAGACUGGAGAAGACCUGCUGCCUUCUGCAGAGCCAAACAUUCCUCACAUGCUCCUCCACAAUGCUAGUUAAUGCAGCAAGAAUAGUCUUAUAUAGACUAUAAACUCCUGGUACACUGUGUCUACAUUGCUCACUGCAGUAUCCCAACAUCUAAGACCAUGGUCUUAGAUGUCUGGUACAGGACUGGUGCUCAGUAUGCAUUGAAUGAAUAAAUGAAUGAAUAUAGCAAAGCA
Molecule: long non-coding RNA, 385 nt
Organism: Homo sapiens (human)
Lineage: Eukaryota; Metazoa; Chordata; Mammalia; Primates; Hominidae
Product: long intergenic non-protein coding RNA 3004
Source: Ensembl